UCUCGCAGAAGCAAUUCCCUGUUAUCUGGAGAGACUUCCCCUUUAUAAAACUUUAGAUAUAAUGCCUUACAGUGUCUAGAGAGAAAUGGAAAAACUGUGAAAGGAGAAAAAACCUCACAAGAUUCUGAAGGGAUAGGGAAGGAGAAUUUAUUUUGCCUAAGUGGGCACUGCAGCAGUUGAAAACCUCACUUAUCCAUCACUUAGUUUGAAUGAUAUUCAAAGACGUUGUUAUGUUUAUAGGUAAACUUAACAGAACUAGUUCUGUUGGUGUGAGUAAUGCAGCAGCUACAGAACACUGCUUUUUUAAAAAAAGAAAUGUAACCCUUACUAAUACUGCAGUUGUUAAUGGGAAUGGAGGUAUGGCUUAUGUGAAUCUCAGCUUUUGAUAUUAUUAAGUGCAUAUCCAGGGGUUAAAGAUACUAUUCCAAGAAUCUCAGCUUUUCAUUGUCUCAGCCUGCCAUGUCAUCUGCAAGAGUAAAACAUGUAAAGAUGGGGACUAGAAGUGGAUAUAAGUAGAAAAGGACAAGAAGGAGAUCAGAGAUGAUCACUUUCAAAAAUCAAGAGGAUUUCCCUGCAAAAUUAUUUACCCAUUUUCUGACACAAUUUAUAAAUAUAUUAGCAAAAACAAAGGCAUAACUCUCUGAGGAGAGUGUUCAGCCAGUCAUCAGUGUUUGCUACAGUAACAGUGCUGUUAGCAGAUUUUGAA
Long non-coding RNA from Zonotrichia leucophrys gambelii, 706 nucleotides. RefSeq lists it as uncharacterized. The record is from RefSeq and is a predicted model, not a curated record. The transcript is spliced from 4 exons. Lineage: Eukaryota; Metazoa; Chordata; Aves; Passeriformes; Passerellidae.